CCUACGGGCGGCAGCAGUAGGGAAUUUUGCGCAAUGGGCGAAAGCCUGACGCAGCAACGCCGCGUGAUCGAGACGCCCUUCGGGGUGUAAAGAUCUGUCAGUGGGGACGAAACUUUACGGUACCCACAGAGGAAGCACCGGCUAACUCCGUGCCAGAAGCCGCGGUAAUACGGGGGGUGCAGGCGUUGUCCGGGAUCAUGGGGGGUAAAGAUUUCGUAGGCGGCACUUAACGUCUGGUGGGAAAGGCAGAGGCUCAACUUCUGUACGGCACUGGAUACUUGCGAGCUAGAAUAAGGGAGAGGUAACGGGAAUUCCGGGUGUAGCGGUGAAAUGCGUAGAUAUCAGGAGGAACAUCAGGGGCGUAGGCGCUUUACUGGGCCGUAAUUGACGCUGAGGAACGAAAGCCAGGGGAGCAAAAGGGAGUAGAUACCCGAGUAGUC
Molecule: ribosomal RNA, 440 nt
Filed under: uncultured bacterium
Lineage: Bacteria
Description: partial 16S ribosomal RNA
Rfam family: Bacterial small subunit ribosomal RNA
Source: RNAcentral